GAUGAACGCUAGCUACAGGCUUAACACAUGCAAGUCGAGGGGAAACGACAUCGAAAGCUUGCUUUUGAUGGGCGUCGACCGGCGCACGGGUGAGUAACGCGUAUCCAACCUGCCCAUCACUUGGGGAUAACCUUGCGAAAGUAAGACUAAUACCCAAUGAUAUCUCUAGAAGACAUCUGAAAGAGAUUAAAGAUUUAUCGGUGAUGGAUGGGGAUGCGUCUGAUUAGCUUGUUGGCGGGGUAACGGCCCACCAAGGCAACGAUCAGUAGGGGUUCUGAGAGGAAGGUCCCCCACAUUGGAACUGAGACACGGUCCAAACUCCUACGGGAGGCAGCAGUGAGGAAUAUUGGUCAAUGGGCGAGAGCCUGAACCAGCCAAGUAGCGUGCAGGAAGACGGCCCUAUGGGUUGUAAACUGCUUUUAUAAGGGAAUAAAGUGAGAGUCGUGACUCUUUUUGUAUGUACCUUAUGAAUAAGGACCGGCUAAUUCCGUG
Molecule: ribosomal RNA, 492 nt
Filed under: uncultured bacterium
Lineage: Bacteria
Description: partial 16S ribosomal RNA
Rfam family: Bacterial small subunit ribosomal RNA
Source: RNAcentral